CCAUGCCGCGUGCGGGAAGAAGGCCUUCGGGUUGUAAACCGCUUUUGUCAGGGAGAAAUCUUUUGGGCUAAUACCUCGAGAGGAUGACGGUACCUGAAGAAUAAGCACCGGCUAACUACGUGCCAGCAGCCGCGGUAAUACGUAGGGUGCAAGCGUUAAUCGGAAUUACUGGGCGUAAAGCGUGCGCAGGCGGUUGUGCAAGACAGGUGUGAAAUCCCCGGGCUUAACCUGGGAACUGCACUUGUGACUGCACAGCUGGAGUACGGCAGAGGGGGAUGGAAUUCCGCGUGUAGCAGUGAAAUGCGUAGAUAUGCGGAGGAACACCGAUGGCGAAGGCAGUCCCCUGGGCCUGUACUGACGCUCAUGCACGAAAGCGUGGGGAGCAAACAGGAUUAGAUACCCUGGUAGUCCACGCCCUAAACGAUGUCAACUGGUUGUUGGGAAGGUUUCUUCUCAGUAACGUAGCGAACGCGUGAAGUUGACCGCCUGGGGAGUACGGCCGCAAGGUUG
This 510-nucleotide ribosomal RNA is filed under the name uncultured Pseudomonadota bacterium. Its description in RNAcentral is "bacterial SSU rRNA". It matches the Rfam family "Bacterial small subunit ribosomal RNA", at positions 392 to 896 of the family's 1533-position model. The record is from RNAcentral. Lineage: Bacteria; Pseudomonadati; Pseudomonadota.